RNAcentral lists this ribosomal RNA (451 nucleotides) under uncultured bacterium. RNAcentral's name for it is "bacterial SSU rRNA". It matches the Rfam family "Bacterial small subunit ribosomal RNA", at positions 8 to 507 of the family's 1533-position model. The record is from RNAcentral.
AGAGUUUGAUCAUGGCUCAGAACGAACGCUGGCGGCAUGCCUAACACAUGCAAGUCGAACGAGACCUUCGGGUCUAGUGGCGCACGGGUGCGUAACGCGUGGGAAUCUGCCCUUCGGUUCGGAAUAACUCAGGGAAACUUGAGCUAAUACCGGAUAAUGACGUAAGUCCAAAGAUUUAUCGCCGAAGGAUGAGCCCGCGUAGGAUUAGCUUGUUGGUGGGGUAAUGGCCCACCAAGGCGACGAUCCUUAGCUGGUCUGAGAGGAUGAUCAGCCACACUGGGACUGAGACACGGCCCAGACUCCUACGGGAGGCAGCAGUGGGAAUAUUGGACAAUGGGCGAAAGCCUGAUCCAGCAAUGCCGCGUGAGUGAUGAAGGCCUUAGGGUUGUAAAGCUCUUUACCCGGGAUGAUAAUGACAGUACCGGGAGAAUAAGCUCCGGCUAACUCCGUG